UGGUUGCUCAGUGGUUAGAGCAUCAACCUACAGACUGAAGGGUCUGGGUUCAAUUCCCAGUCA
Myotis davidii is the source of this 63-nucleotide non-coding RNA. The record is from Rfam. NCBI's taxonomy places the organism in Eukaryota, Metazoa, Chordata, Mammalia, Chiroptera, Vespertilionidae.